GUGGCAUUAGCUCAGUCGGACAGAGCAACCGCCUUCUAAGUCGUGGGCCGCAGGUUCGAAUCCUGCAGGGCGCGCCA
This 77-nucleotide transfer RNA is filed under the name Escherichia coli. Its description in RNAcentral is "tRNA-Arg(tct)". It matches the Rfam family "tRNA". From Rfam's summary of the family: Transfer RNA (tRNA) molecules are approximately 80 nucleotides in length. Their secondary structure includes four short double-helical elements and three loops (D, anti-codon, and T loops). Further hydrogen bonds mediate the characteristic L-shaped molecular structure. tRNAs have two regions of fundamental functional importance: the anti-codon, which is responsible for specific mRNA codon recognition, and the 3' end, to which the tRNAs corresponding amino acid is attached (by aminoacyl-tRNA synthetases). tRNAs cope with the degeneracy of the genetic code in two manners: having more than one tRNA (with a specific anti-codon) for a particular amino acid; and 'wobble' base-pairing, i.e. permitting non-standard base-pairing at the 3rd anti-codon position. Lineage: Bacteria; Pseudomonadati; Pseudomonadota; Gammaproteobacteria; Enterobacterales; Enterobacteriaceae. The record is from RNAcentral.